RNAcentral lists this ribosomal RNA (404 nucleotides) under Fusobacteriota bacterium. RNAcentral describes it as "Fusobacteria bacterium partial 16S ribosomal RNA". It matches the Rfam family "Bacterial small subunit ribosomal RNA", at positions 355 to 776 of the family's 1533-position model. Lineage: Bacteria; Fusobacteriati; Fusobacteriota. The record is from RNAcentral.
UGGGGAAUAUUGCACAAUGGAGGGAACUCUGAUGCAGCGACGCCGCGUGAGUGAUGAAGGAAUUCGUUUCGUAAAACUCUGUUCUAUGGGAAGAAAAGGACUGUACCAUAGGAGAAAGCUCCGGCUAAAUACGUGCCAGCAGCCGCGGUAAUACGUAUGGAGCGAGCGUUGUCCGGAAUUAUUGGGCGUAAAGGGUGCGCAGGCGGCUUUACAAGUUGGAUGUGAAAUAUUGUGGCUCAACCACAAACGUGCAUCCAAAACUGCAAAGCUUGAGUUAAGGAGAGGUAAGUGGAAUUCCUGGUGUAGCGGUGGGAUGCGUAGAUAUCAGGAGGAAUACCGGUGGCGAAGGCGACUUACUGGACUUAAACUGACGCUCAGGCACGAGAGCGUGGGGAGCAAACAGG